This 465-nucleotide ribosomal RNA is filed under the name Vreelandella stevensii. RNAcentral describes it as "partial 16S ribosomal RNA". It matches the Rfam family "Bacterial small subunit ribosomal RNA", at positions 338 to 795 of the family's 1533-position model. The record is from RNAcentral. Lineage: Bacteria; Pseudomonadati; Pseudomonadota; Gammaproteobacteria; Oceanospirillales; Halomonadaceae.
CCUACGGGCGGCUGCAGUGGGGAAUAUUGGACAAUGGGGGCAACCCUGAUCCAGCCAUGCCGCGUGUGUGAAGAAGGCCCUCGGGUUGUAAAGCACUUUCAGUGAGGAAGAACGCCUGGUGGUUAAUACCCAUCAGGAAAGACAUCACUCACAGAAGAAGCACCGGCUAACUCCGUGCCAGCAGCCGCGGUAAUACGGAGGGUGCGAGCGUUAAUCGGAAUUACUGGGCGUAAAGCGCGCGUAGGUGGCUUGAUAAGCCGGUUGUGAAAGCCCCGGGCUCAACCUGGGAACGGCAUCCGGAACUGUCAAGCUAGAGUGCAGGAGAGGAAGGUAGAAUUCCCGGUGUAGCGGUGAAAUGCGUAGAGAUCGGGAGGAAUACCAGUGGCGAAGGCGGCCUUCUGGACUGACACUGACACUGAGGUGCGAAAGCGUGGGUAGCAAACAGGAUUAGAUGCCCGUGUAGUC